GGGCGGCUGCCCUAAUAAUUUCUCUGGUUUAUAUUCCCUUAAACUAUAUAUAUAUAAUUUUAUUAGGCCAGAAGUAAAGCUGCUACACAGUAUUGAACACACGUCAAGUGACGAAUUUUGUCUUCCACUGUUUUGAUAAAUUCAUCCUUUUCUCUGUCUUCCCUUCCAAGUAUGUAUGUUUCCAUAUCACCUGCAAGUUGCAACUUGUCUUCUCCUCUCCAUGUUUAUAUGUUGUGUAUUCUAACCUAUUUGUCACUCGUUGGUAAUAAGAAGACUCAUCUUUUAACUUCCUUCCAGGAUUCGAAUUUUUAAAGCAUAAAAGAAGAACCGCAGGAAGGUGGUAUGAGCUUUUCAUGUUAAGAGUCCUUUUCUGUUUCAAUGAUUAUAUUUAUUCAUAUUUGCUAAGAGUUAUUGUUUAAGGAGCGAGCUUCUUGGGUUUAAACAGUCUGAAAAUUCAAUUUGUUUAGGAAUUUCAGUUUUUCUUUUCUCCAUUUGAUGGGACUAUUCUUAAUUAUAUUAGGAAUGCAUAUAAUUGUUAAAAUUCAGUUCAUGCAGAGAAAAAUUUAAGAGAAAAAAAAACCAAUGCAGAAUUGCAAAUUGAAUCAAUGAUCUAAUGAAUGUCAUAUUUUACAAAAAUCAAGUCUGUGAUAAUAAGAAUGGUGGGAUUUUUAUGAAAUACCAACGAGGUCCAUCAAAUUCUGUAUUCUUAUCAUGGACAGAAUAUCUUUUUUUUUUCUUGAUGGGAUGGACAGAAUAUCUGUUAACCAAUGUCACUCCUUGAUAUGUUCCUUCUUAUUAUGGGUUUUUACUUGAUAUAUUCCUGUUCUGGAUUUUAUUUUUAUUUCUUCCUAUUUUGGGUGGUUUUUUAGAUUCUAUGAAUAUUACUUUCUAUUUAGCUUUUUAAAUUUAGGCUUCAGUUAUUUGUACUUGUAUAUAUAUAAUUCUUACCUUCUAUGAAUAAUGUACAACAAUUUUCCAUUCUCGUUAAUAUCCAAUUCUCUAUUCUCAUCGACUGUUGCUAGGAAUUCUUCGUCUGGCAUUUUUCUUCCUUUAUAGUUGUGACAAUUGUGUGAAUAUUGUGAUGUGUGGCAAAAAGUGACUCAACUUUUGUUGACAUCAUUGGAUUUUUUUUUUUUUUUUUUU
RNAcentral lists this unclassified non-coding RNA (1143 nucleotides) under Hevea brasiliensis (rubber tree). The record is from RNAcentral. Lineage: Eukaryota; Viridiplantae; Streptophyta; Magnoliopsida; Malpighiales; Euphorbiaceae.